AACGAACGCUGGCGGCGUGCCUAACACAUGCAAGUCGAACGGGGAUAAGUAGCUUGCUAUUUAUUCUAGUGGCGCACGGGUGAGUAACGCGUAGAUAAUCUGCCUUAGACUCUGGGAUAACAUCUCGAAAGGUGUGCUAAUACCGGAUAAGCCCACGAGGACGUGAGUUCUUGCGGGAAAAGGGGGCCUCUGCAUAUGCUCUUGAUCUAAGUUGAGUCUGCGUACCAUUGGCUUGUUGGUAGGGUAAUGGCCUACCAAGGCGACGAUGGUUAGCUGGGCUGAGAGGAUGAUCAGCCACACUUGGACAGAGACACGGUCCAGAAGCCUACGGGAGGCAGCAGUGGGGAAUUUUGCGCAAUGGGGGAAACCCUGACGCAGCAAGGCCGCGUGAGUGAUGAAGGCUUUCGGGUCGUAAAGCUCUGUCUAGAGGGAAGAAGUGAUAUUUGGUUAAUACCCAGAUUUCUUGACGGUACCUCUGAAGGAAGCACCGGCUAACUCCGUGCCAGCCGCCGCCGUAA
RNAcentral lists this ribosomal RNA (518 nucleotides) under uncultured bacterium. Its description in RNAcentral is "partial 16S ribosomal RNA". It matches the Rfam family "Bacterial small subunit ribosomal RNA", at positions 29 to 523 of the family's 1533-position model. The record is from RNAcentral.